RNAcentral lists this ribosomal RNA (253 nucleotides) under uncultured bacterium. Its description in RNAcentral is "partial 16S ribosomal RNA". It matches the Rfam family "Bacterial small subunit ribosomal RNA", at positions 524 to 776 of the family's 1533-position model. The record is from RNAcentral.
UACGGGGGGAGCAAGCGUUGUUCGGAUUUACUGGGCGUAAAGGGCUCGUAGGCGGUUUGUCGCGUCGGGAGUGAAAACCUACAGCUUAACUGUGGGCUUGCUUUCGAUACGGGCAGACUAGAGGUAUGCAGGGGAGAACGGAAUUCCUGGUGUAGCGGAGAAAUGCGCAGAUAUCAGGAGGAACACCGGUGGCGAAGGCGGUUCUCUGGGCAUGAUCUGACGCUGAGGAGCGAAAGUGUGGGGAGCAAACGGG